This is a small nucleolar RNA of Salarias fasciatus (jewelled blenny), 84 nucleotides long. NCBI's taxonomy places the organism in Eukaryota, Metazoa, Chordata, Actinopteri, Blenniiformes, Blenniidae. The record is from Ensembl.
UGCAAAUGAUGUUUUUCUCACGAUGGUCUUCCAAGCCCGCAGGGUUCUGACGACAGUGCCUUUAGGCAACACUGAUGCCACCUU